AAAUACCUGCGGGUCAUCCACAUACUGCGGGUCAUCCACAACCAGUACCCGCCUACUAGCGUUCUCUCUCACAAUGGGUCCAGAGCCCAGGUAAUGCGGGACAUCCGCAGCCAGUACCCGUCCCUAACAUCAUUACUCAAAUGACUCAAAAACUUACUAAAGUACUGUUGUACGUCUACAGCCAGCACUAGGUACUUCUCUAUGAACGUUUAUGCUUUUAAAUGAAGCUUUAACAGUAUUGAACUUUAACUAGACUUUUAAAGAAAACCAGUUUAAUAU
Long non-coding RNA from Dendroctonus ponderosae (mountain pine beetle), 279 nucleotides. RefSeq lists it as uncharacterized. The transcript has 2 exons. The record is from RefSeq and is a predicted model, not a curated record. Lineage: Eukaryota; Metazoa; Arthropoda; Insecta; Coleoptera; Curculionidae.